UUAUUUUCAGGAAGCUUUCGGGUGGAAUGAACUUAACUUAGCGGCGGACGGGUGAGUAACGCGUGGACAACCUACCCUGUACAGGGGGAUAACAAUGGGAAACCAUUGCUAAUACCCCAUAACACCUUUUAGGGGCAUCCCUUUAAGGUCAAAGAAUUUCGGUACAGGAUGGGUCCGCGUCUGAUUAGCUAGUUGGUGAGGUAAUGGCUCACCAAGGCGACGAUCAGUAGCCGGCCUGAGAGGGUGAACGGCCACACUGGAACUGAGACACGGUCCAGACUCCUACGGGAGGCAGCAGUGGGGAAUAUUGCACAAUGGGCGAAAGCCUGAUGCAGCAACGCCGCGUGAGCGAUGAAGGCUUUCGGGUCGUAAAGCUCUGUCCUAAGGGAAGAUAAUGACGGUACCUUAGGAGGAAGCCCCGGCUAACUACGUGCCAGCAGCCGCGGUAAUACGUAGGGGGCAAGCGUUAUCCGGAAUCAUUGGGCGUAAAGGGUGCGUAGGCGGCCCUAUAGGUCAGAGGUCAAAGGCUACGGCUCAACCGUAGUAAGCCUUUGAAACUGUAGGGCUUGAGUGCAGGAGAGGAGAGUGGAAUUCCUAGUGUAGCGGUGAAAUGCGUAGAUAUUAGGAGGAACACCAGUGGCGAAGGCGACUCUCUGGACUGCAACUGACGCUGAGGCACGAAAGCGUGGGGAGCGAACAGGAUUAGAUACCCUGGUAGUCCACGCCGUAAACGAUGAGUGCUAGGUGUCGGGGGUCGAACCUCGGUGCCGCAGCUAACGCAUUAAGCACUCCGCCUGGGGAGUACGUUCGCAAGAAUGAAACUCAAAGGAAUUGACGGGGACCCGCACAAGCAGCGGAGCAUGUGGUUUAAUUCGAAGCAACGCGAAGAACCUUACCUGGACUUGACAUCCCUCGGACCGCUUUUUAACCAAAGCUUUCCCUUCGGGGACUGAGGUGAC
This 959-nucleotide ribosomal RNA is filed under the name uncultured bacterium. RNAcentral describes it as "bacterial SSU rRNA". It matches the Rfam family "Bacterial small subunit ribosomal RNA", at positions 67 to 1035 of the family's 1533-position model. The record is from RNAcentral.